RNAcentral lists this transfer RNA (56 nucleotides) under Paramuricea clavata. RNAcentral's name for it is "tRNA-Thr". It matches the Rfam family "tRNA", at positions 8 to 61 of the family's 71-position model. From Rfam's summary of the family: Transfer RNA (tRNA) molecules are approximately 80 nucleotides in length. Their secondary structure includes four short double-helical elements and three loops (D, anti-codon, and T loops). Lineage: Eukaryota; Metazoa; Cnidaria; Anthozoa; Malacalcyonacea; Plexauridae. The record is from RNAcentral.
UAGCUCAGUUGGAAGAGCAUUGGGCUAGUAUUCCAAAGGUCGUAGGUUCGAAUCCC